RNAcentral lists this ribosomal RNA (482 nucleotides) under uncultured bacterium. RNAcentral describes it as "partial 16S ribosomal RNA". It matches the Rfam family "Bacterial small subunit ribosomal RNA", at positions 28 to 507 of the family's 1533-position model. The record is from RNAcentral.
GAUGAACGCUGGCGGCGUGCCUAAUACAUGCAAGUCGAACGCUUCACUUCGGUGAAGAGUGGCGAACGGGUGAGUAAUACAUAAGUAACCUGGCAUCUACAGGGGGAUAACUGAUGGAAACGUCAGCUAAGACCGCAUAGGUGUAGAGAUCGCAUGAACUCUAUAUGAAAAGUGCUACGGGACUGGUAGAUGAUGGACUUAUGGCGCAUUAGCUUGUUGGUAGGGUAACGGCCUACCAAGGCGACGAUGCGUAGCCGACCUGAGAGGGUGACCGGCCACACUGGGACUGAGACACGGCCCAGACUCCUACGGGAGGCAGCAGUAGGGAAUUUUCGGCAAUGGGGGAAACCCUGACCGAGCAACGCCGCGUGAAGGAAGAAGUAAUUCGUUAUGUAAACUUCUGUCAUAGAGGAAGAACGGUGGAUAUAGGGAAUGAUAUCCAAGUGACGGUACUAUAUAAGAAAGCCACGGCUAACUACGUG